GGCGGUAAUACAGCGGUAGAAUGUCUGCUUGCCAAGCAGAAUGUCACGGGUUCAAGUCCCGUCCGCCGCU
Molecule: transfer RNA, 70 nt
Filed under: Candidatus Omnitrophota bacterium
Lineage: Bacteria; Pseudomonadati; Candidatus Omnitrophota
Description: tRNA-Gly
Rfam family: tRNA
About the family: Transfer RNA (tRNA) molecules are approximately 80 nucleotides in length. Their secondary structure includes four short double-helical elements and three loops (D, anti-codon, and T loops). Further hydrogen bonds mediate the characteristic L-shaped molecular structure. tRNAs have two regions of fundamental functional importance: the anti-codon, which is responsible for specific mRNA codon recognition, and the 3' end, to which the tRNAs corresponding amino acid is attached (by aminoacyl-tRNA synthetases). tRNAs cope with the degeneracy of the genetic code in two manners: having more than one tRNA (with a specific anti-codon) for a particular amino acid; and 'wobble' base-pairing, i.e. permitting non-standard base-pairing at the 3rd anti-codon position.
Source: RNAcentral